RNAcentral lists this ribosomal RNA (506 nucleotides) under uncultured Desulfobulbus sp. RNAcentral describes it as "bacterial SSU rRNA". It matches the Rfam family "Bacterial small subunit ribosomal RNA", at positions 903 to 1382 of the family's 1533-position model. The record is from RNAcentral. Lineage: Bacteria; Pseudomonadati; Thermodesulfobacteriota; Desulfobulbia; Desulfobulbales; Desulfobulbaceae.
CGCCUUGCCAGCCCGCUCAGAACUUAAAGGAAUGAGGGGCCCGCACAGGCGGUGGAGUAUGUGGUUUAAUUCGAUGCAACGCGAAGAACCUUACCUGGUCUUGACAUCCCGGAGACCCUUAGGAAACUAGGGGUGCUUCCAUCUGGAAGAAUCUGGAGACAGGUGCUGCAUGGCUGUCGUCAGCUCGUGUCGUGAGAUGUUGGGUUAAGUCCCGCAACGAGCGCAACCCUUGCCUUUAGUUGCCAGCAGUUCGGCUGGGCACUCUAAAGGGACUGCCGGUGUUAAACCGGAGGAAGGUGGGGAUGACGUCAAGUCCUCAUGGCCUUUAUGACCAGGGCUACACACGUACUACAAUGGCCGAUACAAAGGGCAGCGACACUGCGAGGUGAAGCCAAUCCCGUAAAAUCGGUCUCAGUCCGGAUUGGAGUCUGCAACUCGACUCCAUGAAGUUGGAAUCGCUAGUAAUCGUGGAUCAGCAUGCCACGGUGAAUACGUUCCCGGGCCUU